UAUGCAACCUGCCUGUAAGCGGGGAAUAACCCGUGAAAGACAGACUAAUACCGCAUAAUACUAAAUUACUGCAUGGUAAUUUAUUUAAACAUUUAUGGCUUACAGAUGGGCAUGCGCAUGAUUAGCUAGUUGGAGAGGUAACGGCUCCCCCAAGGCAACGAUCAUUAGGGGUUCUGAGAGGAAGGUCCCCCACACUGGUACUGAGACACGGACCAGACUCCUACGGGAGGCAGCAGUGAGGAAUAUUGGUCAAUGGACGAGAGUCUGAACCAGCCAAGUCGCGUGCAGGAAGAAUGUACCCUAUGGAUUGUAAACUGCUUUUGCAGGGGAAUAAAGUGCAUCACGUGUGAUGUUUUGUAUGUACUCUGCGAAUAAGGAUCGGCUAACUCCGUGCCAGCCGCAGC
RNAcentral lists this ribosomal RNA (404 nucleotides) under uncultured bacterium. Its description in RNAcentral is "bacterial SSU rRNA". It matches the Rfam family "Bacterial small subunit ribosomal RNA", at positions 118 to 518 of the family's 1533-position model. The record is from RNAcentral.